Gadus chalcogrammus (walleye pollock) is the source of this 5937-nucleotide RNA transcript. RefSeq lists it as uncharacterized. Lineage: Eukaryota; Metazoa; Chordata; Actinopteri; Gadiformes; Gadidae. The transcript is spliced from 11 exons. The record is from RefSeq and is a predicted model, not a curated record.
GGUGUCCUCCACUGUUUGUCAGUGUAGUGUCUCCCAAACGCGGUAUGUUGUUGUGUUCCCAGGAAAACCAGUGGGGUGUUCCACAAAGGCAGUUUUAUCACAUAACCGGGUCUAUCAUGGAUAUUUAACUGCAGUUCUGUGAGUAUCCCAACUUAACCAUGAAGAUGAACUGCAAACUGUAAGUCAUAAGUUUCUCAUUACUCUUGGGCACAUUGAUGUAUUUUGGCUUCCUGGUGAGUUAACCCGUUACAUGAAGGUUGAUCUGAAUAGUAAGGAUGUUUUAUUGGUUCAUGGGUUACUGAGGUGUUUGGUUUAUGUUGGUUUUAAUGAUUUGUUAAAAUGGUUACAGGUUCUAAGUUAUUGUUGUAAGCUGGAGUAAUGGGUUGGGUUCUGAUAUCUUCAGUCUUCUUUUCAGCUACUCUCCUGAGCUCUGUAUCUUCAUCACAUGCGUGUUGCUUUACUGAUGAGAGUGUGGUCUGAGUGAGCCGAGGUGCAUGCUGGGACACAGAGCUGUCUGAAGUCUACAGGUCUGUAGACACGCCCCCUCAGGGGAUACCAAGUGUUUGAGAAACCGUCACGAUGUCAGUUACAUGGACUGGAAUGUUCUUUAAGAUGGAGACAGGGAUUCAGAAGGAGUAACACCAGGGGAGAUGAGGGGGCUCCUCAUAUCAACAGCUAAAACACAACUUCAGUCUGACACAGAGAACCAUGGAACACAUUCAACAAUCCUCUCCAGACAUCGUGACUCCUCAGGAACAGUUUCAUUUCCAAGAAGGUCUUAAUUGGGGCCAUUCCAAGAUGGAUCCUGCUCCUCAAGAUCCACCGCCCUCCACUGGGUGGUCUUCUGAACAGAUGACCUCCUACCUGUCCUCAGGCUGACUAAAGCUGCACCGUUUGCAUCUGUGAAGGCCCCUCAUUCAGGAAACCACUGGAUUACAAAGACAUGACUUCAGAGACGUUGAAUCAACCUGGGACACAUUUUUGAGACGUCAAGCAUAAUCCAUCACCAAUGUGGGACGCCACUGAAAAAUGUUGCACAUAAUUUACUUCUCCGGAGACAUUGGUUGUUCUGUUCUGGGUGCCCUGGCAAGAGAGCUGGGGUUGGAUGAUGGAACGUUAUUUGGCAUGAAGUUUUUACCCUGCAUGAUUGUUUGGCCUUUUAUGGCUUAGUGGUGUGUGCGUUUGGGUUUGACAUGAGAUGGAUGAUUUUUGAGCAUUGCUAGGGUUAGGCUUAGGCUUAACGGCAGUUCGAGAACUCAGUGGAAGACCAAUUGGUAAUCGAAAAAUACAGCUUGUUUUUGUGUGAACAUGGGGUGUGGUUUGGGGUUAUGGUAUUUAAAACAAAUGGCAUAUAAUCUUUAAUUAUGUUAGGGUUAGGUGUCUCCCACUCACACCUGGCAUGGGGUUCUAGGUGCGUGUCCUGGGUUCUAUGUGUGUGUCCGGCUUGCUUUGACAGUGAUAAUGUUCAUACGGGGGUCUGUGUGAUUGGCUUGGGAUAUUGGAAUGGUCAACUAAAUCAUACCUGAUGGACGGCCGCAUGUUUACUUAAGGGCCUCCAGUAGACAUGAAGAGCCAUGAGCGACGCUGCGGAGCCAUAUCCAACACACUGGGCAGGAAGGAGGGUAUCCAACUCGAGUGUAAAAGGAUGCAAGCGGCGUGUUCAGAUCAGUGACUUCAAACUAGGACUAGACCAAUCAGGAUCAAUGGAGGAUGGACGCCUAAAGGAAUUCCAAAAGGAGAGUCUGACGUUGGAAAGGGACCUAAUUGGAUAUUCAAGAUAACCUUCAGACCUGUAAUGAGACGGCUCUUCCUACCUGGCUGGAUUGAUGGAGAGCCCUGGUCUUGCUCUCAGUUGGACGUCUUCUCAGGCUGAACUGUAUUUGUUUCGGACAGGACUAGCUGAACGAUUGGUUCCCUUAAAUCAGAAUCAAUCUGGGAACUCCAACUAGUGCGCUCUUCGAGCUGAAGUUGUGCUCUUCGAGCUGAAGUUGUGCUCUCCAGCUGAGGAGGUAAGGAAACCUUCACUGGGGCUUCAAGGUGUAAAGAGGAGGAUGUUUCAAAGUGUUCCAUGGUACUCUGAUGAAGACUGUUGUUGUGUUCCACUGGCUGAGAGGAAGAGCCCUCAGAUCUUCCUCUUGGCCUUUCUCCUCUGAGAAUCCUGGCGCCAUCUUGAAGGAUAUUCCAGCUCAUGUAACUGAUCACGACAGAUUCUCAAACACUUGGUUUCUCCUGAGGGGCGCGUCUAUAGAACUGAAGACUUCAGAAAGCACUGUAUCCCAGCAUGCAUCUCUGCUCACUCAGACCACACCCCCAUGAGUAGGAUGCAACACUCUAGUGAUGGAGAUGUAGGGUUUUAUAAGUAACGAGGGAGCAGACAAAGGUGAUUAGAACACAAUUGCGUGUCAAGUCUGUAAAUCUUUAAACCAUUAAGCUGGUUGGAUAGUUCAGGAAUUGGGCUUCUUUUUAUUAUGGGCGGUCCUUUCACUCGGAUGCCCACUUCUCACUGGACCUGUACAUGUGUUGGCUGGCUGGCAUGAGGCGGUCAGGGUGACGUUGCAGGGCUAUGGUCGGCUCUCUGUGAGCUUAACGUUUAGAUUUGCUCUGUAUGGUUUGUACCCUGAAUAAUCUAGAUAAUUGUAAAAUGUAGACACGGUUUUGUAUUGAAUGAUUUUAGGUUUAAAGUUGUUGUUGGACGUACAUGGUAGUUUGGUUCUUCGUACGGUUUUGAGUGAUAUAACUUGUACACACUGGGUGCAUAAUAAUGUAAAUGUACACUGAAUAGUAGUAAUGACCAACAGCAACAAACUGAUCUCCUCAAGGUAAGUCUGUUGGCUGAGUUUUAAUGAAGACCAUCGCUGGACUUCAGGAUCUUCCUCCAUUCAGCUCAAGGUGAGGCGCUGGUUCUGUUUUUUCUUUGGUUGGUUCCGGCCGGAAUGUUCGGAUUCCAGUCGGACGGUUUGUGCUUCCCGCCGUGGAAGGUUCUGAUUGCGGUCACUUGAUUUAGUCCCAAUGGUUAGCAUAGAACGUUGUAGUCUUGACAACCAAAAGAAACCACCUGGCAGUUAGUUGGACGGGAGUCCCCUGAGGGAAUCUGGUAGAACGUUCUGGAUUGUAUUCGCGUAACCUCGAGCCGUUGCCAACGGAAACUAUUUUCCAGUCGUUUCCAUUGGGAAUUGUUGCCCCUUAUCUUAAACAACUUAAGUUCGAUAUUAAAUACAUACUGACACGUGCGUCGUACAAUAUGUUGAUCAUUUCCGAUAGUUGCGCCGUACUUUUAACCACGAUGACGUGACGGGACUCUCGCUGCGUACAAAACGGUGUUCUACUUGCGGGCCCAUUUUUGACAUCAGUGACGGCUGAAAAUCAUUUCGAGGUGGCAUUUCAACAGAACCCAGCACCUGAAUAUGGCUGAGUAUAUUUGAUUCAAUAUCGAUACUGCUUAGUGUUCUUUGUUACUUCAGCUUUUAUACGUUCUAAAUAUCUGCUGUAAUUAAUCGCCACAGAAGUUAAACUGAGUUACCAACUGGAUAAUAUCAAAGCUAAAAUAAUGGCCGUCCUUCCCACAUGUUACAGUAGAAGAUACUCUAGAACUGUACAAGGUUAAAAAGGUAACAUGUAGUUGGUCCCAAGGUGUCUGCCUCCUCACCCAGAGCAAGACCUCCACCUCCUCACCCAGAGCCAGACCUCCACCUCCUGUCAGAAGUCCUCCAGAACAGCUGAAAGGUGAGGCUGAGAGGCUGGGGACCGGAGGCUUGUGGUGCCAGGAUGAACCAGAGACUGAGGCUGGAGACCAGGGGGCUGCAGCACCGGACCAGAGGGUAACCAUCACCAAGCUCAUCUGAAACACAAAAAUCCACGUGCUGCUACGACCGUAGUGGAUGAAUUGCUGAACGCGACAAUCUGCCUGGUGGAGGAGCUGGUGGAGGCCCUGCCUGGUGAAGGACGUCUGUCGUGGGGUAGAUGGAGCUUGAGACCAGGAAUCUGUCUGACGAGAGCUGCUGGAUUCCUCAACAUGUUUCUGGAGCGGAGGCGAGCUGGUAGGGGAGCCGUGAAUCUGGAGGAUGACCAUCAGUCUACCAACAAGGAUUACGUUAGGGCCAGACUCGCGCUGUUUGUUGCAGACCAGGACUCUGGCUGAGGUGAGCUGAUGGAGGAGCCAAGACUCUGGAGGACGACAUUACUCUACCAACCAGGAUCCUCAGACAAAUUACGUUUGCAACCAGACCAGGAAUCUGGAGGACUGAUGGAGAAGCCAUACAUCUGGAAGGCAAAUCCUGAGGACAACCUGGACUCUACCAUCAAGGAUUCCUCACACACCUGAGCUGAACCUCACCUGAUCCUGUUUGGUCGGGGGUAGAAACACCUGAGCUGAACUCGCCCUGAUCCUGACAUCCUGCUGGUCCCGUCUCCUCAGUUCAUCUGCGCCUCGUCCUCCAGAAGACCUGCUGAGCUCAGCAAUCUGAGGCUGAUGGAUAAAUGACCUCCAGUGGGAGUGAUCUUCUUGACCCCACAUAGUUUGACCGAGCAGCAAGGGUGAUCUAUGAGGUUCCCCACGAGGACUCUGAGGUGGACGGCACCAGCUCGUCCAAAGGGUCCUCCCAGUGGGUGAGUCUGUCGGAGGGCUAGGGGGUUCCACUCCCAGCCAGAAAGUACCGGGUUUGAUCCCCAAUGUCCCCAGUCUAACCUGUAGGCAUCAUUCAGCAAGAAGAUCAUAACCCCUAUCUGUUCCUGAUAGAGGAACCCCAACGCUCGCUAGUUACUUAUAUAACAGUACUGCCUCGUACGCAACGAAAAACAAUAAUCGGAGGAGUUGGAACAUGGUUAUCAUCGUGUUCUCCAUUGUUCAGAUUCUGGAUAAAAAUACGCCCAUCGUCCAACUCAGGUUGUUAGUGGGAAGGGAGAUGAUGUUGUUGACUGUGCUCUUUACACAAGCGUCAUGAAGAAGUACUCUCCCACACCCCUAGAACAACCUAGAUUGGACUAAACCUCUUAUCGAGUACCACGCCACCAGUGUUUUGCGCAAUGGUGUCAGGUACCCGUGUAUGAGUCCUUCGACUACUUUGAGCGUGUGGUGGAAAUCAAGGGCGGUGGAUGAAGGAGUCUCAAUCUGUUGUUUCCCUUGUUGGUUUUGUAAAUAUCUCUGAUACGUUCUGUCAUCUUCUGUGUCCGUCCAUGUUUUAAAUAAGCUAAUUGAAAGUCAUAAAUUAACUGUGAAACAGCAAUGAAGCCUUAUUGUAAUUGAUGAUGAGUGAUGAUUGUAUGUAAAUGUAAAUAAAUUAUUUUUAUAGAGUAACUGAUAUUCUCUAAUACUUCAGCAGACCGCAAUGUGGUCUGCCCUUUAUUUCCACAAGGCCUGUGUGUGUGUGUGUGUGGGUGUGGGUGUGGGUGUAGGUGUGUGCGUCUAGAUCUUUUGCGAAUGCUGUCAGUGCGGAAACGAUCUUAAUCUGAGGAAGUGCAGUGUGAGACUGCUAAACUUGUGGAAAAAAGUAAUCUUCCACCCCACAGGUUGUUAAUUGGUUGAUUGGACAAAGCGAAAAGCUAAACAUUAGGCAGGUUUAUCUAUGACCGUCGCUAAUGGUAAACUGUUGAGGAUUGGGCGUGGUUUCUCUGAGUGGUAAAGAAGAGGCUCUAUGCGGUAGGCCAUGGACAGGAAGUGAAGAACUCGUCUGUGACAUCCGUUCUCAUCGAAUGUAGACUGCAAGGCUACCUUCGGUGGUCGACCGGAUUUUUUUUAGCAUCCUUUGCAACACGUCCAAGAAGGGAUAAGAGGUUCCAUUUAACUAACAUGCCUGCUUGCUUAUUCCAAACGUGUUUUAAGCAAGACUUAUGAUGUUCAACGUAUCGACUUUUGACUUUAAAUGUAUACAGACGUGUUGACUUGCAUAUACUUGUUGACUUUUACCUGUACGCUUGCGUAUGUUUGUGGUUAGAGGAAGA